This 555-nucleotide ribosomal RNA is filed under the name Mokopirirakau granulatus (Gray's sticky-toed gecko). Its description in RNAcentral is "partial 16S ribosomal RNA". It matches the Rfam family "Bacterial large subunit ribosomal RNA", at positions 1809 to 2594 of the family's 2925-position model. Lineage: Eukaryota; Metazoa; Chordata; Lepidosauria; Squamata; Diplodactylidae. The record is from RNAcentral.
AAAAACAUAGCCUUUAGCCCAACAAGUAUUAAAGGUCUGGCCUGCCCAGUGAACUAUUUCAACGGCCGCGGUAUCCUAACCGUGCAAAGGUAGCGUAAUCAUUUGUCCCCUAAAUAGAGACUUGUAUGAACGGCUAACUGAGGGCCUAACUGUCUCCUUAAGCCAAUCAAUGAAACUGAUCUUUCAGUACAAAAGCUGAAAUGCCCCCAUAAGACGAGAAGACCCUGUGGAGCUUAAAACCUAUACUAUAAACCCUCCCCCUCCCUCCCCUAAUGGCACACCACCUUUUCCCAUGGUAAAGGUUUUUAGUUGGGGCGACUUUGGAAUAAAACAAAACUUCCAUGCCAGGGGACUUCCCCUAUAAAGGCUGACAUGCCAAAAUAAUACUUUUUUGACCCAGCCUGUCUGAUCAACGAACCAAGUUACCCCAGGGAUAACAGCGCCAUCCUCUUCAAGAGUUCCUAUCGACAAGAGGGUUUACGACCUCGAUGUUGGAUCAGGACACCCCGGUGGUGCAGCCGCUACCAAAGGUUCGUUUGUUCAACGAUUAAUAGU